CCUACGGGAGGCAGCAGUGAGGAAUAUUGGUCAAUGGGCUUACGCCUGAACCAGCCAAGUCGCGUGAGGGAAGACUGCCCUAUGGGUUGUAAACCUCUUUUGUCAGGGAGCAACGCCGGCUACGUGUAGCCGGACUGAGAGUACCUGAAGAAAAAGCAUCGGCUACCUCCGUGCCAGCACCCGCGGUAAUACGGAGGAUGCGAGCGUUAUCCGGAUUGAUUGGGUUUAAAGGGUGCGUGGGCGGAAUGCCAAGUCAGCGGGAAAAUCGCGGGGCCCAACCUCGCUCCGCCGUUGAAACUGGCGGUCUGGAGUGGGCGAGAAGUAGGCGGAAUGCGUGGUGUAGCGGUGAAAUGCAUAGAGAUCACGCAGAACUCCGAUUGCGAAGGCAGCAUACCGGCGCCCAACUGACGCUGAAGCACGAAAGCGUGGGUAUCGAACAGGAUUAGAUACCCUAGUAGUC
RNAcentral lists this ribosomal RNA (460 nucleotides) under uncultured bacterium. RNAcentral's name for it is "partial 16S ribosomal RNA". It matches the Rfam family "Bacterial small subunit ribosomal RNA", at positions 338 to 795 of the family's 1533-position model. The record is from RNAcentral.